RNAcentral lists this ribosomal RNA (473 nucleotides) under uncultured bacterium. RNAcentral's name for it is "partial 16S ribosomal RNA". It matches the Rfam family "Bacterial small subunit ribosomal RNA", at positions 35 to 539 of the family's 1533-position model. The record is from RNAcentral.
AACGAACGCUGGCGGCAUGCCUAACACAUGCAAGUCGAACGAGACCUUCGGGUCUAGUGGCGCACGGGUGCGUAACGCGUGGGAACCUGCCCUUAGGUUCGGAAUAACUCCCCGAAAGGGGUGCUAAUACCGGAUAAUGUCUUCGGACCAAAGAUUUAUCGCCUUUGGAUGGGCCCGCGUUGGAUUAGCUAGUUGGUAGGGUAAAAGCCUACCAAGGCGACGAUCCAUAGCUGGUCUGAGAGGAUGAUCAGCCACACUGGGACUGAGACACGGCCCAGACGUGCAGGGGAGGACGGGGGAGGGAAGGCGGGAGAAGGGAAGAAAGACUGACCAAGCAAUGUCGAGUGCGGGAAGACGGCUGUAGGGUUGAAAAGCUUGGUUGCCGGGAAAAAAAAUGACAGGAAGGGGAGAAUACGGUCCGGCAAACUCCGCGCAAGCCGGUGGGGUAAGACACGGCACAGCCACGUCACAAC